GCGAUGAGCUAAUUUGCGUAAGUCAAUGGAUAUAUAAACGUACGAAUGUGGUCGUACGGUCCUUGCCGCAAAACGCAUCAAAACGCCUGUUUAUUAACAGGCG
This 103-nucleotide small RNA is filed under the name Bacillus andreraoultii. RNAcentral describes it as "BsrF". It matches the Rfam family "BsrF". The record is from RNAcentral. Lineage: Bacteria; Bacillati; Bacillota; Bacilli; Caryophanales; Bacillaceae.